GCGUCGUCGGCGCCCGGGGCGCUCACCGCACACACCGCGGAGUCUCUAGUCCAGGUGGUGACUUAGCGCCGCUUUGUGGCCGAAAGCGACCUCUGCGCACUCAUUUAAAGACGCAGUCAGGGUCUGCGCCAUGAAGAAAUAUGCCUCUUAGAAUCUUAAUUUUCUCUCCACUUACUAUGUGCCGGAUGUGGGUGCUGGAAACAGAAAUGAAGCUUCUGUGUAUUGAACAAGCCACGCACAUUGUCUCCUCAGGGCUCUGCCCUUGCCUACUACCUCACCAUCUGCAACAUCCUGCUCUCGCAACCUCCGCCUUUCCUUCAGGCCAAGGUCUCCAGGUCCUCAACCUCACUGCCUCCAAAAGGACCUUCCCAGACGGCCCAGUCAAAGGUGGCUGUACCCCCAGGCCCCCUCAGGAGGAUGAAUCAGGGGACCAGGGCAGUCAUCGCUGUUUGAAGUUACCCCGUAAAGAAUCCCCCUUGUCUUGCUCACUGCUGUUUCCCCAAAGAACAGAACGGUA
This is a long non-coding RNA of Lemur catta (Ring-tailed lemur), 517 nucleotides long. RefSeq lists it as uncharacterized. The record is from RefSeq and is a predicted model, not a curated record. Lineage: Eukaryota; Metazoa; Chordata; Mammalia; Primates; Lemuridae. The transcript has 3 exons.